AGAGUUUGAUCCUGGCUCAGGAUGAACGCUGGCGGUAUGCUUAACACAUGCAAGUCGAACGCACCUUUCGGGGUGAGUGGCGGACGGGUGAGUAACGCGUGAGAAUCUGCCCUCUGGUCGGGGACAACCACGGGAAACGGUGGCUAAUACCGGAUAGGCCGCAAGGUGAAAGAUUUAUUGCCAGAAGAGGAGCUCGCGUCUGAUUAGCUAGUUGGUGGGGUAAAAGCCUACCAAGGCGGCGAUCAGUAGCUGGUCUGAGAGGAUGAGCAGCCACACUGGGACUGAGACACGGCCCAGACUCCUACGGGAGGCAGCAGUGGGGAAUUUUCCGCAAUGGGCGAAAGCCUGACGGAGCAAUACCGCGUGAGGGAGGAAGGCUCUUGGGUCGUAAACCUCUUUUGUCAAGGAAGAAGAUCUGACGGUACUUGACGAAUAAGCAUCGGCUAACUCCGUGCCAGCAGCCGCGGUAAUACGGAGGAUGCAAGCGUUAUCCGGAAUUAUUGGGCGUAAAGCGUCCGCAGGUGGCGUAUCAAGUCUGCUGUUAAAGACCGGGGCUAAACUCCGGAAAGGCAGUGGAAACUGAGACGCUAGAGUGCAGGAGGGGUAGAGGGAAUUCCCGGUGUAGCGGUGAAAUGCGUAGAUAUCGGGAAGAACAUCGGUGGCGAAAGCGCUCUACUGGACUGCAACUGACACUCAGGGACGAAAGCUAGGGGAGCGAAUGGGAUUAGAUACCCCAGUAGUCCUAGCCGUAAACGAUGGAUACUAGGUGUGGCUUGUAUCGACCCGAGCCGUGCCGUAGCUAACGCGUUAAGUAUCCCGCCUGGGGAGUACGCGCGCAAGCGUGAAACUCAAAGGAAUUGACGGGGGCCCGCACAAGCGGUGGAGUAUGUGGCUUAAUUCGAUGCAACGCGAAGAACCUUACCAGGGCUUGACAUGUCGCGAAUCUCCGGGAAACUUGAGAGUGCCUACGGGAGCGCGAACACAGGUGGUGCGUGGCUGCCGUCAGCUCGUGUCGUGAGAUGUUGGGUUAAGUCCCGCAACGAGCGCAACCCUCGUUUUUAGUUGCCAUCAUUAAGUUGGGCACUCUAGAGAGACUACCGGUGACAAACCGGAGGAAGGUGGGGAUGACGUCAAGUCAGCAUGCCCCUUACGUUCUGGGCUACACACGUACUACAAUGGUGAGGACAAAGGGCAGCGAACCCGCGAGGGCAAGCCAAUCCCAUCAAACCUCGCCUCAGUUCAGAUUGCAGGCUGCAACUCGCCUGCAUGAAGGAGGAAUCGCUAGUAAUCGCCGGUCAGCAUACGGCGGUGAAUCCGUUCCCGGGCCUUGUACACACCGCCCGUCACACCAUGGAAGCUGGCCACGCCCGAAGUCGUUACCCUAACCCCUUGUGGGAGGGGGGCGCCGAAGGCAGGGUUAGUGACUGGGGUGAAGUCGUAACAAGGUAGCCGUACCGGAAGGUGCGGCUGGAUCACCUCCUU
RNAcentral lists this ribosomal RNA (1482 nucleotides) under Caldora penicillata VP642c. RNAcentral describes it as "bacterial SSU rRNA". It matches the Rfam family "Bacterial small subunit ribosomal RNA". Lineage: Bacteria; Bacillati; Cyanobacteriota; Cyanophyceae; Coleofasciculales; Coleofasciculaceae. The record is from RNAcentral.